Molecule: ribosomal RNA, 253 nt
Filed under: uncultured bacterium
Lineage: Bacteria
Description: partial 16S ribosomal RNA
Rfam family: Bacterial small subunit ribosomal RNA
Source: RNAcentral
GACGUAGGGCGCGAGCGUUGUCCGGAUUUAUUGGGCGUAAAGAGCUCGUAGGCGGCUUGUUGCGUCGUCCGUGAAAACCUGUGGCUUAACUACAGGCUUGCGGUCGAUACGGGCGGGCUGGAGUUCGGUAGGGGAGACUGGAAUUCCUGGUGUAGCGGUGAAAUGCGCAGAUAUCAGGAGGAACACCGGUGGCGAAGGCGGUUCUCUGGGCAUUACCUGACGCUGAGGAGCGAAAGUGUGGGGAGCGAACAGG